UACGUAGGGUGCAAGCGUUAAUCGGAAUUACUGGGCGUAAAGCGCGCGCAGGCGGCUUUGCAAGUCAGAUGUGAAAUCCCCUGGCUUAUCCUGGGAACUGCAUUUGUGACUGCAUGGCUGGAGUGCGGCAGAGGGGGAUGGAAUUCCGCGUGUAGCAGUGAAAUGCGUAGAUAUGCGGAGGAACACCGAUGGCGAAGGCGAGUCUCUGGGCCGUCACUGACGCUGAGGCGCGAAAGCGUGGGGAGCGAACAGG
This 253-nucleotide ribosomal RNA is filed under the name uncultured bacterium. RNAcentral describes it as "partial 16S ribosomal RNA". It matches the Rfam family "Bacterial small subunit ribosomal RNA", at positions 524 to 776 of the family's 1533-position model. The record is from RNAcentral.